GUAAUUUGGCCUCUCAUGGACGACAUACUGAGGAGGCAAGGGAGGAUUUGAGUAACCGCUGGCAACGGCGAACGCUACGCCCAUCAAUAGCACUCUGCUAACCCACAUCUUGCUUUACGCUAAUAACAAAGGCACGUCUGACCGUGUGAGCUCCGUUGUAUUCCCUCUUUAAGACGUCCAUUACUUUAUAGCCAUCCGUGUGCCCACAGUUUCACAUGGAAUAAUACCAGUUUUGAUCAAAUAGAAAGUUUGCUAAAAGAACUCUGUUAUCUAGGUGAAAGUCCAAAUUCUCAUUUCGAUUUACAAUUCCUUUUGGCAAGAUUUUCGUUGCAAGUGGGCGUAUAUUUGCAUGCGUUGCAAUUGGCAAUGCACGUCCAGUGACAUGGCUUUUUAACUAGUUUGGGAGCAAGUGUUCUCAUUCACGGGGAAUACCCGAACACAUGUAUUACAAACGGAAAAUUCGGUUGCUUCACGGGUAAACUUUCUUUAGUUACUAGGUAGGGUCCGAAUAUUGCGGCGGAGACACAUUACGCUGGCUAUUAAUUUGUCUGUGGUAUUUAUGUCAUUGAACGAUUUUUUAGUUAGUUAUUUUUGCGUUAAUCAUUUGCAUGCCAUGGAUGUUUGUUUCCAUUUCCACAAAGGGGCAUAGGUCGUACUAAUUCGAAAGUCUUUAAUACCCUUCGUUUUCGGUAUGUAAAUUCAAAAAUCGACAACCUAAAAAUUAAAAGGUUGUGGGCAUGAGUUUCCAAGGAGAUUUUAUCAACGUAUGAUCUGACAGGUCUUUUUCUUUGCAGUCUAAAGAAUGAAGUGGGCCCUCCAGUGUCUUGCAGCAUUCGUUGACUAGUUGUCACGUUCUUCUCGCGGGGACAACCGCCUAAUAUUUUACUGUGGUUAACUUUUAACCUGUUGUCUCUGAAUUUUUUUGAAUAUUAAGGGUGGAGUAACUAAAUUUGAAUAACCCUAAUUUUAUAUUAAAAUGCUGCCCAACCCAAGUCCACUGCUUAUCAAUGCCGCAUUAUGAUACUGAGUUAUCCCGCGGGCAUAUACUUGCGCCACUUACGUUUGCAUUUAUGUGACUGGUAUUCACGAGUAAAAUAACAAAUAUGGAGGGGAAAAAUCAUUAGCGCAAGAUGUUUGUCACUGGGACAGAACUGGUUGUAGAACUAGCUAUGGCCAUCUGUGCAAUCUGUCCAUCACCACACACUUUCUAUUUGUCGGAAAGGUCUUUUAAACGUGCGGGGAUUUUUCUGACAUCCUAAAAUAUAAAGCUCUUGACAUGACUGAAUUGUAAUUCAAUUAUUUUUGAGGGGGGAAAAAUAGCUCUGGGACGCUUUGAUUGUUUAUGACUAAACGUCCGUCUAAGUGUGCGGUUACCGGGUUACCUGUAUUUGAUCACCCAAUUUUAUUAACU
Molecule: long non-coding RNA, 1411 nt
Organism: Daphnia magna
Lineage: Eukaryota; Metazoa; Arthropoda; Branchiopoda; Diplostraca; Daphniidae
Exons: 3
Source: RefSeq, a predicted model, not a curated record